This is an RNA transcript of Bombus terrestris (buff-tailed bumblebee), 2515 nucleotides long. It is a transcript of the gene named eukaryotic initiation factor 4A-I, with no coding region annotated. The transcript has 8 exons. The record is from RefSeq and is a predicted model, not a curated record. NCBI's taxonomy places the organism in Eukaryota, Metazoa, Arthropoda, Insecta, Hymenoptera, Apidae.
UACGUGUCGAAUCACGAGAAAAGUCGAUUGAAAAUUUGAAGACCGCUCGCAGCGCCAUUGUGCGGUGCUCAUAAGAAUAUUCCUUGUGACGCAAUAGGAACUCGUCCUUUCCGUCGACCUACCGUGAGUGGAACAUGUCGCAUACGUCUGAGCGAAGAAACGAUGAUCAAUGGGCAGGAGAUUCCAAAAAUGGUCCUAGUGAAAGUGAUCAACAGACAUACGAUGGCCCCCCUGGCAUGGAGCCCGAUGGGAUCAUCGAAUCCAACUGGGAUGUUGUCGUUGACAACUUUGAUGAAAUGAACCUAAAAGAAGAAUUACUACGUGGUAUUUAUGCUUAUGGCUUUGAAAAACCAUCUGCAAUUCAACAACGUGCCAUUCUGCCAUGUAUAAGAGGACACGAUGUGAUCGCGCAGGCACAAUCAGGAACUGGUAAAACUGCUACAUUUUCAAUUUCUAUUUUACAACAAAUUGAUACCAAUAUCAAGGAAUGUCAAGCAUUGAUUCUAGCCCCAACUCGUGAACUUGCUCAACAAAUCCAGAAAGUUGUUAUUGCUUUGGGAGAUUUUAUGCAUGCAGAAUGUCAUGCAUGCAUUGGAGGUACCAAUGUACGUGAAGAUAUGCGAAAAUUAGAACAAGGUGUUCACAUAGUAGUUGGUACACCUGGUAGAGUUUAUGAUAUGAUUAGUCGACGGGCAUUACGGGCCAGUAGCAUCAAACUGUUCGUAUUAGAUGAAGCUGAUGAAAUGCUCUCUCGUGGUUUCAAGGAUCAGAUUCAUGAUGUAUUUAAAUUAUUACCUCAUGAAGUACAGGUUAUAUUACUAUCUGCUACUAUGCCGACAGAUGUAUUAGAUGUGUCUACAUGCUUCAUGCGAAAUCCAAUUCGUAUUCUGGUUAAAAAGGAAGAACUUACAUUAGAGGGUAUUAAACAGUUCUUCAUCUACGUUGAACGUGAAGAAUGGAAGUUUGAGACUCUUUGUGACUUAUAUGAUACAUUGAGUAUCACCCAGGCAGUUAUCUUUUGUAACACGCGGCGUAAAGUAGAUUGGUUAACGGAGAGUAUGCGCACCCGCGACUUCACAGUCUCUGCUAUGCAUGGAGAUAUGGAACAAAAAGAGCGAGAUCUCAUUAUGAGGCAGUUCAGAACUGGAUCAUCUCGUGUCCUCAUAACAACUGAUCUUCUAGCACGUGGUAUUGAUGUUCAACAGGUUUCUCUUGUCAUCAAUUAUGAUUUACCUUCCAAUCGCGAAAAUUACAUUCACAGAAUCGGUCGAGGUGGUCGUUUCGGUCGUAAGGGAGUGGCAAUUAACUUGGUAACAGAUGACGACAAACGAACAUUGAAAGAUAUUGAACAAUUCUAUAAUACUAGCAUCGAAGAAAUGCCAAUGAAUGUCGCAGAUUUAAUCUAAAUCUGACUAUUGGCUAUAAUUCAUUAUAACUAAAAAAAAAAAAAAUAAAAGUAAGUGACAUACGGAGCUCUCAGCUGAUCUCUCAUGGUGUGCAAUUUUGAGCGGUCCAGAAAUGAGGGAGAUAUUUUUGGAAAUAAAGACCAAAUUUCGUGAUUCAAUAUAGAAGUUUUGUAAAUCGAUUACCUCUCUAAUUUCCUGCCCUUUGCAGGUUAUUAUAUAAACAACAUAAUAUAAAUGUCGAAUUAUUUAUACAUACAUUUGCAUUAUUUAUUUUUAAUAAUUAUAGAAGUCAGAUUUUUACACGAUCAUUUUAUAUCUUCUCAAUAAAAAGGCAUAUUGAAAUACUUUUCAUUCAUUAGUUGUGUAUUUGUGUGCUUUGUUGGGAAUAAAAUUUUAAUGUUUCGUAUAUUGUGAGAACUUUUAUAUAUAAAUAUAUAUAUAUAUGUAUAUAAAUAUAUAUAUAUAUAUUGUAUCUUCGUGAAGAAAGUGUGUUACGAAUAAAUAUUCGAUUAUUCAAGCACAGUUUUAUUUUGUAACGUCGACGAUAGUUUUCGAAAGUUGGAGUAAUUUCAUGCAAUUCUUCAUUUCGACAUUUAAUAUUAUUAGAACAAUUCAAGGUAUCUUUUCUUCCGUAUGUAUACGUAUUUUGAAACUGCUCGAAUUUCCGAAAACUGUUCAUUAUUCAAUUCUGUAAAUAUUACAAAUGAUUUUUUCAAAUGGUGGACUAUUGUGAGUUCUAUUGUAUUUAUACAUUAUAGAAAAACAAUAUGGUUAAAUUGAACUCUUAAAAUCAACACAAUAAAUGUGCAUGUCGUUUACAUACAGCCAUCGCAUCACUAUUUUUACUUGUCUAUAUUUAUUUUAAAAUACUCAUAUUUAUUUUACAUUAAGUGGAUUAUUAAGCAUGUUAAGAUCAUAAUAAGGGUUUGCGAUGACCGUAGAUCCCCAAUAUAACAUAAUAAUCCAAGAGCCCUAAGAUCCACCUUCAUUUCAACGUAAUUAUUUACUUUAUCCAAACGAUAUAUAAUAAUGUGUAUGUAACAACAAAUAAUCGAUACGACUGUAAUGUAUUGGCACAAGUUAAUAUUAAAAUGAAUCGAAAGCCCGAA